AAAAUGUCUUCCUUCGACGAUCAUAGCUAAAGUUUACUUUGCGUGUUCCUUGAAUGAAUGCACGAGUGUACCUGCGAAUGUACGCCGGCUUUAGCGAACGGGUUCGCUUCAUAGCGGAGCUUCGACUCUUCUUCUUCUUCUUCUUCUUCCCAAUUUCCCUGCCUACACCAGCUUCGCUUUGUGUAUUCCAGAGAAGAAAAUAGAAGUUAUCGAAACAUCCGUUGAGUCGACGCGUUGCACCAAGACUUCAGCGAAUUAUGCCCAACAAGCGAAGAAGCUAGAUUGUGCCUUGCUCACUACACACUCAUUAAUAAGAAUUAUGCUGGGCGAGACAGCGACCGUUGGUUGCCACUUUUGCUUGUCUCAUUGUCUGGUGUACUAGUCACUGAAGCCCCGCGGGAGGGAAAGGCAAGAACUUGGUAUCUGUAGCAGCACGGCUGUCCUAGGAAAACGAAAGGAAAGCAACGAUACAGGGAAAUGGGGUGUCGCGACGGCAGCAACGAUGACAGCAAUAGAGAUUCCCUCAGGUAGACGGCACUGGCAGUCCUUGGGGAGAAAGGGUGGAUAAACACUUUACGAUGAUACUAUAGCAUACGACAUACAAAGACAUCCUUAGGUAGCAGACUCAUGGGGGAUGAAGCUUUCUUCGCUUUUGCCCCAGUGGAAAGAGAGAAUGCUAGCGCUUUUCAGUAGAAGAAGCCAAGCAAAACCUGUCGUUGCCAUUUUUGCUCUCCCAUUUACGCUCUAAACCCUCACCAAAUGUGUAAAAAGGCCGCACUCAUUUCUUCUUAGUACCUUCCUUCCUUAAACGGCUAUAAACUCCCAACUAUUAUUUGUUGUAGCGCCUAUAUAAUCGCACUAUGUCACCGGUCUGCUGGUCUAGCAAACAUUGGUUCCUUCUGCCUAUAUCCAUGUAUGUAUAAAUGUUUGCAGUUACAAACGUACAUUGGACCCGACGCCCAGUUUUAGAGAGCAGUUGCCAUCAACCAGGCUAACACACCGAUCGUGUUAACAAACGGGGGAAACCAUCCUAAAUGUUCUUGAGGAAACAUGGAAAAACCAAAGGAAACACUAGAAUUUGCAUCAACAGACGGGUAUAAGCGGACAGAGGAGCGAACGAGCUUGUGCCAUCCGACCUCUUUCCUUUGCUCAAACACCAAAUCCAUUUACCGCUACCCAACAAUGCCGUUUGUUGACAGUGAAGACAGAGAGAACUACGCAAGAAAUAACGGCAUCGGCAGCAACCGUUAGGACACUCCUUACCGUUUGUGCCCAUUGUUGAUUCUAACCAGAUCAUCGUCUAAUUAGCUGCUUCGCACUCAAACCUCGCGAGCUAUGCGUCCGGUAGUCCGAGAGGAGACCACCAGCAGAUUCUUAUUCUAUAGCCACGGCUUUCAAUAACAAAGUGAGUGCCUGCUGACACAAAAUACGAUACGACAGAGAGAAAAUAGUAGCAUUUGUGGAUUCGAACCAGAAAAGUUCUCGGCGGUGAAGUGAGCGGUCUUUUCUCGAUAGCAGUACCAAUCGAGACUAAAAAGCUGCGUGCUCCAUUGGGAAGUCAUAGUUAAUAUUAGCUUGUCUCUCGCGCGCCGGCAGCGGCUGUACAGGUGGCGUGAGUAACUACUGCCGUCGACAGCCUGAACCGCUGCCUAUACUCUUGCUGCUGCUAUUGCCUUCUGGUCCAGCCGGCCAUUAUCUGAAGCAGUGCAGCUUAAAGCUCUGUGUCUUGAAUGUAUUGUCUAGCAACGCUGUCAGCUGCGUUGUUGUCACAGCCGCUACGAGGGUCUUCUGCUGACGAGAGGGACAGUGAGCGGGAGAUGGCGGCUCGUGCUAGCUUGCAGCGCCGCACUGCACGGUAAUAAAUGUUAAGCCGGAAAUUAACAGCAACACAUACAAAAAGUUAUCCUUUAUUACUUAACAGGGGAUUAAUGGAAAGUUUAACUUCUACAACCGUCUUAUUUGCCCUCACCCGUGUAUGUGCGCGCGGGUGUCUACGUUAGCAUCGUUGUUAUUGGCGCUGUUAUUAGUAAGUGUUGCUUACUGUUGAAGCUAAUAUACUUGCAACUGAUGUUGCUGCUGUUGUUGUCGCUUUUGGCGAUGGCCGGAGGUUGGUGAUAGUAUUGAAGCCACUAUUUUUACACCUCAGAGGCGAGUGACAGCCUUCAUCAAAAGAGAGCGCUGUGCCAAUGAGUCAUCAAGUGAUUGAGAUAAAGGUGACAAACAAAAUACGACCGUAAGGCAAAUCCACCAGAAAAAUGGUAUAGAAGAUAAGCUCCAGAGAAAGAAUAAGCGAGAGAUAGAGACGGGGAGGAACGAAGAGAGAGAGAGGGAGUUUAGACGAAGUAAAAAUGAAAAAUGAUCAUACUCCUCGUUCCCAUUAGCGUGCCAUCUGCACUCUAUGCAGGAUUCUGAUUUCCAGACAAUACAUUGAUGACAUCAGAGUGACUCAAUAUUAGACAAAAAGGGAGAAAAGUAGGGUCAAAAUAAUCCUUUCCCAAUCAGGACCAACUACGGCUCAAUUAUAGUACGCAGAAAUAGACCAAUGUUUCAUGAACAAUUGCAGCCUAGAUACGUGCACAAGCAACUGUGGCUCAGGAUAUAGGAAAAAACGUUUCAUUCUUUCAAUUCGAUCGAUAUUCAUUGCUCUAUGGCUGUCGUUGUACUGUCGUAAAAUUAUACGUAGCUCCGGAUCUGUCUUUCCAUUCGCCGAAAAUAACGAUGUCGGUUCCUGCAGAAAUGAUGUUCUCGGAUUAAGUUCUACGGCACGCUCACAAGCACAGGCCUACAUACUGCGCUGAGAUUACUAACACGGCAGUCAUGCGGGAGAACAUUUUUUAUGGCAAUAUGUUAUAUAUAUAUAUUUAUACAACACAUAGUCUUUAAGUGUAACCUCAUCCUAGAAAUACCGUCCCAUAUCGUAUUUUGCUUGUCUGAUUUCUGACUUCAUAUUCUGUCGUCAUAUUUAAACUUUCGGAAAUGUUUUUAAAAAGCGUGAAUAAGGGAACUGUCUCCAUAAACAUUCGUCUGAUAUAUACUACCUCUCAUCAACAACUGGUUAUUUUUAUGGCAUACCACUGUUCGACGCCCACGGCGGUACAUUUAAAAAAACUUCAUGUUGCUUCAUUGCAACCGAUUGCGCCGUACAGAGGGAGGUCAAAACUGGCAGUUUUCGGGCGAUCGUGCCACGUUUACAUAACUAUCAGAAGUCAGUGGAUUUAAGGUACAAACCACUGAACCGUCCAUAAUCACACGAAACAAACUAAGGACGGAACUUCUUAACCUAACUAAGUUAUUCCUUAAAUUGAUCACUGCUCGAAACUAGGCACACCCUUGAAUGAACGUUAGCUGUGCCAGGCUAUGGGAUUGUCGUCUGCGACUAACGGCAACAAUGAUUAACCAACCGUAUGCUGUUCAUUACUUUUACAGAUUUAUGUUAAGUAAUAUUUAGUCUCCAAAUGUUCGGACGUUAGUUUAACGGUGCAAAUUUCUAAUUUUAGAUUUCUAAGCUCUAAAAGUUCGAGGCUUUUAAAGCUUUAGGUUCGAUGGUUGAUGAACUCCACUUCUCCACGAAAACAAUUUUUCUUCGAUAACGCGGGCUUAGAUUCCACAAGGACGUUACAGAUCGCGCCAGCACUCAUAUAGAUCUGCUAAUAACGACACUAUAUAUACAAGAGUUGUUAGAUUGCGCCGAUGGCGGAUAACCCUACGAAAAAUUGUCAAUCUUCAUUGAUUUACUUGAGUUCGUAUCCUUCAAUACGGUUGAGCCUUGAGCUAUAUCAAAACCUGUGUAGCACUAACCUUGGGACUCUGUAUGCUGAACAUGUAGCUUUUUACUUUAUGGCCGACAUUCAAUUUGAUAGGGUCUGGUCGCUGUGAGCACUGUCUGAAGCGUUAUAGUUCGAACUGGCAAGCUUACAAGAGCCGAACUAUGUAAAAACUACAUACCGUUCCGAAAUUUUCACAUGAACCAACAUUUUUUCCGUGCAUCACGAUAAAAACCAAUGGAACCCCUAUUUUUUUUUUGCAUGGAAAGUGGCCUGGAACAAGGAAGGAUUCAUUCACAUACCUAAAGUACCAUCGUAAAUCCACAUCUGUGUUUUGAUUAUAUAUAUCAAAUAUAUUAACUGUUCCCAUAUUUCAAUACACAGUUUCUUUGCAGGGGAACAUUGUGCCCCCCACUAAAUUCACUAAUUACUUUAAUUAGGCUGCUUAGUUCCGAAACUAUCGAGAUGACAUGAUCGUUUACGCCGUAUACGUUGCGAUGUCUAGUGGAGAGGGUUAACAUAAUCUUCAAAUUGACUUGAUUGUUCUAAGAUAAACUCUAAAUGAUUCCCUAAUAGCACACAAUGGUUUCUUAAUGACGGUCUCCAAAUGGCCUUUUAGUGAAGCCAAGAAGUGCUAGGUCAAAAAACCUACAGCACACGAUAGUAAAACUCGCGUUGCUCGCUUAACCUGUGGCUGUCUGCUAUACAAACUCGAGUCGGUGCACUGAGAUAUGCCUAACUCCCCAGCGCUUUAUAGCCUGUAAGCAUAAAGUAAUGAGUUACUACUACACAAGCUGCCAUUGAAUAAAUAGGAAAAAAUUAGUGAACAAUUGAGCAAAGUAAUGAAUCUCUAGAGCUAUGUGUUGGCCGAAUCCGUGACAUUGCUUAUUUAUUUGGCAGAAAUAGAAAUAAAGGUAACAAAAAUAUACGUUUAUAUUCGAAUCGUAAUUGAGCCAAAGUACCCUGUUCUCACUAGAUGAUUCGAAGUAUUAGGAGAACUAGGCACAGGGAAAAAAAAUCAGAUGCAAAGCAUGCUUUGCCUAGCAUGUAUGAGUGAGAGGAGCCUGUUUCUAAUAAAGGAUCGUUACAAUGGUCGUUACGUAAUAAUCUGUGUGUGCUCAAUUCUUCUUGUUAGACUUUUGGAAAAGCGUUUGCCCGUUUCCGUGCCGUCCCUUCCCAGUGUCUGUUCGCCUCUGUACACCGUUCUAAAGCGGGUUUUUUUCUCAUACGCCUGUCUCAACUAAGUUGUGUAAUAAACUAAAUUUCAUCUCGAGCUUAAACUCCACAAACGAGUGUGCCUGGUUAAAAGACAAAAAGUGCACUUCCGAUAUCUACGACAUUUCGGUUUUUGCAAACAUCAAAAAGCUACUGAAAGAAAUCGAGAUAUUUCUGGAUGAUUACAUUUUCUGGUAGUAAUGGCAUCUCUAAACAGGCGGAUGAAUCAUGUUCCGAUCAGCAACUUCGUGCCGGUAGAAACAAUCUUAAGGCGCCUUUGUAGGAAAACAUUAACUCAUGAACUGACCAAAAAGAUGCGUCGCCGUCACGUAACAACCUUAAAGCUUUACUGAAAAUUUAGAAACCUAGGCGCUCUACAAAUUGAGUAAAGCACUGAAGAUACUGAGACGUCUUACGCUCUGCCAUUGUCUGUGAGCACCUCACCCUGGCAUCGAGCCUUAUAAGACUACAGUCAUAGGAUUCCAGGAUUUGUUCGGGUGAGGAGAAAUGGUGGCAGACUUACCUUAGCCCAAGCUUGACUAAAAUCUCCAUAGGAAAGCGACCAUGGUUCGCGUUUAGAGGGACUCGUGCAGUGCGGGGGCUUGAGAAAGGCACAAUUUUAACAAGUUUAUGUGAUCGCGUCGUGUCGAGUCAAUAAUGGACAAGGCAAGACAGUGAUUUCUACGAAAAGUCAGGCCACACAUAGUAAAUAGGUCGCUAGUUCCAGUGGGAAGGUCCUCCACAUUUAUAUUCACCAGAGAUCGCGCCAACGGAUUACAUGUUUGUCGGAUCACUCGCAAAUGAAAGUCCUACUAAGGCACUAGACAACGAAGGUCUUAAAAACCGGCUGAAUAAAUAUCUUAUUGGACAGAUACGAAAAGUAAAAUAUAUUUUUAUAUAUCAAUUUUUUUAUUAAUUCGAAUUAGAACUCGUUAGGUAAAAAGGACUCUUAAUUUCUGAGUAACUUAAUCGUUAUAUAUAACAAAGCUCUGCAAAUAGAGCCAUUAUAUUGGUAAAAGGCUAACAAGAUGUGCCAUGUAUGAACCGUAUACAAAAUUCAGUAAUCAUAAGAUAUCGAAUUGAGUUUGCAGAUGUAACGUCCAGUGGACCAAGCUCUAUCCAAAACACGUGAAAUGAUGGACACACACGUUAGCGAAAACUGCCGAAAAUUACAUGCACUCUUGUCCAUAUUACUUAGCCCUUGACGUUAGCUUUUCAUUACGACCUUAAGGGAAGUAUGGGCAUAGGCUUUGUAACCGAAUCUGGAGUGUAGCCUGUUUAAUGGGCACGAUCUGAUUUUUUCUUUGCUCAUAAUCUAUUAUAUAGACAGUAUACAACGGCGAAAACUGAAUAUAUCCUAUCCUCAACAAACUCAAACAUGUCGGAGGCGCAGUGAUACAGUGAUUUAUAGUGAGGAACGAAUACAGCAAUAUCGGGUAAUUCGUAUUGAAUUUUUAUUUGAAAAUACUUAGGCUUGACUUAGUUUAUAUGCUAAAAACUAUGGCCAUGCCUGAUUUAAAAUGCUGGUUGCUGCUCCCCAAUACGAUGCGUACUGUGUAUGACUCGCCAAAAUUACAAGGAUAAUACACUCAUUCGUUUGCACCGACAUCAGGUAGAUACAUCUGAUUACCCGCCCCAUUACUUCAAUCAGGUGUAGCAUGGCUUAACGUUAAUGCAGAUACAUGCGUGCUAAGACAUAGAAUGGUUAAACGGUAAACGUUUUGUUAAUGAUAAUAACUGAAAUGCCACAAACAGUUUAAACAUGUCGCAAUCAAUUAUAAUUUGUCAGUGACUUGAUGCAAAACUUAUUUGCAUCGCUACUGUUUACCAGUAGGGCUCUAGGCUAACCCCUAUUGUAGGUGCCGGACCUAAAGGCAUGGCCGUACCCCUCUUAUGCACAUGAUUUCAAGCCGCUUUUAACAUUGGUCAUCCAUCGUCAAUCUAAGAUAAUCUUGUUUGGAAUCGAAAGAAAAAUCCUUUUGUUUGAUCAAAGCGCAUACGUCUUCGUCUGCAAAAGCAAGCCUUGCUAAUUGAUAGUCCCCACGAAGAACUUUACAAUUCCCCUGGAUGCGGAAAGAGUAAGCAGUUAUUUGGUCAGACGCUUUUAAGCAUCUCCCGACUAAAAGUUUUUCAAGUUGCUCCCUAGUGAGUACACUAAAUUGUUGAAGAAAGCCCCCUUGCUUCCUCCUCUCAGCACAGCUUGCCCCUUACAUAGCCUUGCCCGUGGCCCACAGCAAAGGUCGGCACGAAUAUUCGGCACAAUGAUGGUCGUGCCACCGAAAGAUUUUCCUUGUUGUGGGUACAGUCGCGUUGUUUCAUAAUUUCAUAUCAUUCCGCGACCACUAUUGCCGACGUCCCGCUCCGCAAGCUAAGUAUAAAAAGCUAAGUACGAGGUAGACGCAGUAGCAAAACGAGGUUCAAGUCUAGAGCAAUCUAACUGAGUAAUGUCGCUUCAGGCUAGGAACUGUUCGCUGCUAUCCACUUUGCUCGCACAUUUUACUUCCUUUUUCUCUUGGAGCGCUCCGAGUACGUACCUCUUGCCUCUGUAUAAGUAUACCUGCCCAUGUUUUUUUCUCUCUGUCUCUUUUCCCGAAGAAUGUAAAGGGGCCUUGAUGGCCAGACGGAGAGCGCGCUACCCUACAUUCACUGCAUCUAAAGAAACAUCCAAUACUGGAAACUAUAGAGGAAGCACAGAG
Molecule: long non-coding RNA, 7675 nt
Filed under: Varroa destructor (honeybee mite)
Lineage: Eukaryota; Metazoa; Arthropoda; Arachnida; Mesostigmata; Varroidae
Description: uncharacterized LOC111249667
Source: RNAcentral